AAGUCGUAACAAGGUUUCCGUAGGUGAACCUGCGGAAGGAUCAUUAUCACGUAUCCACGUAUAAACCAUCGUGCACUGUCUCACCCUUUGAAGUAAUUAUAAGUUCGUGUAAUAUCAAUAACAUAGUGAACUCGUUUAUUGUGAUUUGGAGAGUUCCGUUUAUUGUAAUUGCCUCGGGUCAUUCCGUACUUAUUACUUCUUAGGUGUAUUUCUAAAUCACACUUUGUAUUAACAAUUUGAACAACUUUAUUAAAUUAUUGAACUGAUCUGUUUCUUACUCUGUAAAAGGAGAAGAAAUAAAUUACGAAACAAAGAACAACUCUUAGCAACGGAUAUCUUGGUUCUC
Molecule: unclassified non-coding RNA, 346 nt
Filed under: fungal sp.
Lineage: Eukaryota; Fungi
Description: partial internal transcribed spacer region
Rfam family: Eukaryotic small subunit ribosomal RNA (bases 1-46)
Source: RNAcentral